UGGCAUUGUAAGAUUUCUCCUACUACCUGACCCAUAUACCUUAUCUGCAACAUGGAAAAACAUAGUCUAUUUGGCUGACACAGGACAGACAUGAGAACUUAAAAGGCCUCAGGAAACCUUCUUUUACAUUGUGAACAUUACCUGCUAUCUGAUCUGCCUUUAAAUGAGCUUUCAUUUGUUCCAGAGGGACCAGCACAGGAUCUUCUUGAUUUUGUUAGCCAACAAUUGUAAAGUAUUAUUAAAGUAAUUAUUAUUUUUUAAAUUUAAUUGUUUAUCAACAGUACCCAGAAGACCACAUAAACUACCUUCUGCAAUUCAAUGUAAUCAGAUACAAGGAAAUAUCUCUUGAAGACAUGAUAAAACAAUAUUUUAGUACUAGAAUUGCUCUUAUGUUUAUUUCUGUAUUAUAAUGACAGACAAAAAUGGGUUUUGAGCAAAAUUGUAAUAAAACAGCAUCCAAAAUAAA
This is a long non-coding RNA of Alligator sinensis (Chinese alligator), 466 nucleotides long. RefSeq lists it as uncharacterized. The record is from RefSeq and is a predicted model, not a curated record. NCBI's taxonomy places the organism in Eukaryota, Metazoa, Chordata, Crocodylia, Alligatoridae. The transcript has 2 exons.